This 438-nucleotide long non-coding RNA is filed under the name Homo sapiens (human). RNAcentral's name for it is "HSALNT0244887". Lineage: Eukaryota; Metazoa; Chordata; Mammalia; Primates; Hominidae. The record is from RNAcentral.
AGGACGCCGUGGCCAGGGUUUGCAGGAGACUCUCCUGCCCAUAGGAUGGCUGGGUCUCUAAGGAAAGUUGAAUAAUGCCAGCGCCUGCCUCUUGGGUGCAAUAGAAAGUAUGAUAGUAAGAUCAAACCAGUCAGGGGAAUCAAACCCAAAAGCCAGAAGAGGUCAUUGGGAGGACCCCUGGAUGAGUGACUUGUCUUGCCACGUGGGCCAUUUUCACUUGGUGGUUCUCAACUUUGUAUUUGAGGUGUUUGUAGGGAAAAGUGACAAGGAAGUAGACGCCUUUGGAAUGCCACUGUCAUCCUAUAACUCUCUCACUCACCACCUGAUAUGUGGGCUGCUCUGAGAUGUCAUUUCUGCCUCCUGGACAAGGCCUCAAUGUCUAAAAUGGUUUAAACAAGGGGACUCUACUGGAAACAUACAAAAAGAAUUGGAGCAGGA